This 773-nucleotide ribosomal RNA is filed under the name uncultured bacterium. Its description in RNAcentral is "bacterial SSU rRNA". It matches the Rfam family "Bacterial small subunit ribosomal RNA", at positions 28 to 812 of the family's 1533-position model. The record is from RNAcentral.
AAUGAACGCUGGCGGCGUGCCUAACACAUGCAAGUCGAACGGAUUUUUCAUGAAGCCUAGCGAUUGAAAAGUUAGUGGCGGACGGGUGAGUAACGCGUGGGUAACCUGCCUUGUACUGGGGGACAACAGUUGGAAACGACUGCUAAUACCGCAUAAGCGCACAGCUUCGCAUGAAGCAGUGUGAAAAACUCCGGUGGUACAAGAUGGACCCGCGUCUGAUUAGCUGGUUGGUGAGGUAACGGCCCACCAAGGCAACGAUCAGUAGCCGGCCUGAGAGGUUGAACGGCCACAUUGGGACUGAGACACGGCCCACACUCCUACGGGAGGCAGCAGUGGGGGAUAUUGCACAAUGGGGGAAACCCUGAUGCAGCGACGCCGCGUGGAGGAAGAAGGUUUUCGGAUUGUAAACUCCUGUCGUUAGGGACGAUAAUGACGGUACCUAACAAGAAAGCACCGGCUAACUACGUGCCAGCAGCCGCGGUAAAACGUAGGGUGCAAGCGUUGUCCGGAAUUACUGGGUGUAAAGGGAGCGCAGGCGGGAAGACAAGUUGGAAGUGAAAACCAUGGGCUCAACCCAUGAAUUGCUUUCAAAACUGUUUUUCUUGAGUAGUGCAGAGGUAGAUGGAAUUCCCGGUGUAGCGGUGGAAUGCGUAGAUAUCGGGAGGAACACCAGUGGCGAAGGCGGUCUACUGGGCACCAACUGACGCUGAGGCUCGAAAGCAUGGGUAGCAAACAGGAUUCGAUACCCUGGUAGUCCAUGCCGUAAACAAUGA